This 559-nucleotide ribosomal RNA is filed under the name uncultured fungus. Its description in RNAcentral is "eukaryotic LSU rRNA". The stretch from base 197 to 350 matches the Rfam family "5.8S ribosomal RNA". The record is from RNAcentral. Lineage: Eukaryota; Fungi.
CUCCGUAGGUGAACCUGCGGAGGGAUCAUUACACAAAUAUGAAGGCGGGCUGGAACCUCUCGGGGUUACAGCCUUGCUGAAUUAUUCACCCUUGUCUUUUGCGUACUUCUUGUUUCCUUGGUGGGUUCGCCCACCACUAGGACAAACAUAAACCUUUUGUAAUUGCAAUCAGCGUCAGUAACAAAUUAAUAAUUACAACUUUCAACAACGGAUCUCUUGGUUCUGGCAUCGAUGAAGAACGCAGCGAAAUGCGAUAAGUAGUGUGAAUUGCAGAAUUCAGUGAAUCAUCGAAUCUUUGAACGCACAUUGCGCCCUUUGGUAUUCCAAAGGGCAUGCCUGUUCGAGCGUCAUUUGUACCCUCAAGCUUUGCUUGGUGUUGGGCGUCUUGUCUCUAGCUUUGCUGGAGACUCGCCUUAAAGUAAUUGGCAGCCGGCCUACUGGUUUCGGAGCGCAGCACAAGUCGCACUCUCUAUCAGCAAAGGUCUAGCAUCCAUUAAGCCUUUUUUCCAACUUUUGACCUCGGAUCAGGUAGGGAUACCCGCUGAACUUAAGCAUAUCA